GCGGACGUGGCGAAAUUGGUAGACGCACCAGCCUUAGGAGCUGGCGGGGCAACCCAUGCCGGUUCGAGUCCGGCCGUUCGCA
This 82-nucleotide transfer RNA is filed under the name Gemmatimonas phototrophica. It matches the Rfam family "tRNA". From Rfam's summary of the family: Transfer RNA (tRNA) molecules are approximately 80 nucleotides in length. Their secondary structure includes four short double-helical elements and three loops (D, anti-codon, and T loops). The record is from Rfam by way of RNAcentral. Lineage: Bacteria; Pseudomonadati; Gemmatimonadota; Gemmatimonadia; Gemmatimonadales; Gemmatimonadaceae.